RNAcentral lists this long non-coding RNA (256 nucleotides) under Carica papaya (papaya). RNAcentral describes it as "long non-coding RNA (CPAP_LNC014654)". The record is from RNAcentral. Lineage: Eukaryota; Viridiplantae; Streptophyta; Magnoliopsida; Brassicales; Caricaceae.
CUCAAUACCCCGUCCGGUAUGAGGGUGAAACGGGUCGUCCCCAUACCCCGUCCGGUAUGGGCGCCAAAACACAUAAGAUCUCCAUACCCCGUCCGGUAUGAGAGACCACAAUCCCGGUAGGGUCCCCUACGGACCCGAUCCGUCUACCAUCUCCCAGGAUAUCUAGUCAGGCUGACCCCAUUACACAAUUAUCAAUUUAUACAAUCUUCCAUUCUUCUUUCCCUCAAUCAGCAUCAUCAAUUCGCAUUUAGAUAAG